GCAGAGCAUCCUACGGGAGGCAGCAUUGGGGAAUAUUGCACAAUGGGCGCAAGCCUGAUGCAGCCAUGCCGCGUGUAUGAAGAAGGCCUUCGGGUUGUAAAGUACUUUCAGCAGUGAGGAAGGUGGAUAUGUUAAUAGCAUAUUCAUUUGACGUUAGCUGCAGAAGAAGCACCGGCUAACUCCGUGCCAGCAGCCGCGGUAAUACGGAGGGUGCGAGCGUUAAUCGGAAUUACUGGGCGUAAAGCGCAUGCAGGUGGUUUGUUAAGUCAGAUGUGAAAGCCCGGGGCUCAACCUCGGAAUUGCAUUUGAAACUGGCAAACUAGAGUACUGUAGAGGGGGUAGAAUUUCAGGUGUAGCGGUGAAAUGCGUAGAGAUCUGAAGGAAUACCGGUGGCGAAGGCGCCCCCUGGACAGAUACUGACACUCAGAUGCGAAAGCGUGGGGAGCAAACAGGAUUAGAUACCCUGGUAG
This 470-nucleotide ribosomal RNA is filed under the name uncultured bacterium. RNAcentral describes it as "bacterial SSU rRNA". It matches the Rfam family "Bacterial small subunit ribosomal RNA", at positions 329 to 793 of the family's 1533-position model. The record is from RNAcentral.